Molecule: long non-coding RNA, 808 nt
Organism: Cicer arietinum (chickpea)
Lineage: Eukaryota; Viridiplantae; Streptophyta; Magnoliopsida; Fabales; Fabaceae
Source: RefSeq, a predicted model, not a curated record
CUGAUUUAGAGAUAUUUUUAUAGUUAUUAAGAGAUAAAGAUUGGAAGUGAGAAUAUAGAAAAGAGUGGAAAUAUAUAAUUAGUUUACUAAGUGUAUUUGGCAUUGGCAGUACCCACACUAGUCAUCAUUGAGAAGAUGAGCGAGAAUGAGAGAGUAGAUUUGGAAAAGGAAAACCCAUUUUCUACACCUCCAAUUUAAGAGAGUGAAAAGUCCCUUUUUGUCAUGGAGGAAGAUAUGAGUGGUUUUAGUUUAUGUGGAGUGAAGAAUAUUAAAGGAAAAUUCAAUAAAGUUAGAGAUUUUGGGGUCAUCUAUUCAUGGGGAUUUUGACAGGAAAAUAGAAACCCUCUAUCGUCUCUUCCUUUUCCAUCUACCCUUUCACCCAAAACUCUACAACCCCUAAACCAUCCUGACUUUGCCAUCGACCUUCCGGCAACCCGCCACCCUCGUUCCUUCUUUCUCAAUCGUUUAGUUAUGUGUCAAUGAAGAUGAUGAAAAUGAUGAUUAUUUCAAGAUGACGAUGAAGGAGAUGAAUUUGAAGAGGAUGACAUAAAUGACAAAUUUGAAAGAGAACGAUGUAGAUGAUAAAUACGAAGAAGACACACUUGAAUGAUUUAGAUGAUGAUUUUAGAUUAUGGUUUUUUGGAUAAUGUUUUUUUUAUUAUGCAUGUACUUGAUUGAAGCAUCAUAACUUUAACAAACUAUAUAUUUUGCUAGACGUACUUUAAGUAUUAAACUUUAUUAAAUUAUGUUAGACAAUUUGUUUAUUUCAAUUUAUUUAAAUACAACUUUGAUAAUAAUUUGUGUUAAA